UGUGCCAAAGAGCUCGGGGGGGACCCUGGCUCCUGCUUUUGUGCCCGCAGCUUGGGCAGGAGCAGGCAAAGCGGGGCCGUGGGCUGGUUGGAGCGGCACCCACACGGGGUUGUGGUGCAGCUCCGGCCAGCCCACGGCCCUACAGAGCCAAGCGCGUCCCAGCUGCCUCCCCGCAGCCCCUCCUCUGCCCCCCAGCUCUGGAAGCGAGGAGGGAGCCUGGCAUCUGUCUAGACAGCGGGAGGAGGCGCUGGGUUUUGGGCCCGGGCACGCAGAGGAGGGCGGGGAGAGGCAGUUCCCAGCCCUUCCCUGCCCACCGGGUCCCCCCGGGUGCUUACCCACGGCCGUCUCCCCUGGGCCCUCUUUUUUCAGGGCUAGAACCUUUCUACAGUCGAGCAACUUGGGUUUUUUAUUUAAGACGAGGUUUUUUAGGAGACUUUUGUAGCUCUUUUCAUAUUUACACUUAUUGCUGAUGGUUUGUAAAUCUAUUUAUUUUUUAACCCGUGUUUUUUUCAUAUUUUGAGAGGUCUGUUUUUUAUAUCCCGCUGGAUUUGUCACAAUAAAGACUUGCACAGAGAAACGCCGGCAUCUCGGCCCCGCUCUCCCCCUGCCCCAAAUCCACAAAGUGCCCCCUGGGCGGGGGGAGACUCGAGGGGAGUGGGUGCUGGGGCAGGGGUGAGGCAGCCCUGCCCCGUGAGCUGCAGGGGUGCGUUUUGGGGGGGGCAGAUGCUGAUGGGCUGGGCUGAUUGAGCCAAAGCCCCCCCAGCAGCACGAGCACGGCUGCAGAGCCACGUCUGCCCCCACGGGCACGGGCCCUGCAGCUGGGCUCCCCUGGGUGCUCCUCACCUCAGAGGGGCACUGGGUUCGUGUCCUGGCUCUCCCCCGGUGUCACCGAGGGGGGACAGGGGACCUGGGACAGGCCUGUGGUGGCAGCAGGUCCGUGUCCUUGUGUCUUGGGCACGUUGGUGGUGCUGGCAGCGGGUCGGUGCCCUCACACCUUGCGGGGCACGUUGGUGAUGAUGGGUUUGGGGCGCGUUUUGAAGAGCAGCUUGGUCUUGAUGAGGGCGGUGACGGCGUAGCGGGCGUGCGGCUCCGCGGGGCCGGCCGCCUCCUUCACCAGCACAGCAAACGGCUUCUCCAGCGGCACCACCUUCCCGUACAGCACGUGGUGGCCCACCACCAGCACCGGGACGCCCUGCGGGGGGGUACAAACGGGAGCUGAGGGCUGUGAGCGGCCUGGUGGCGGGGUGUCCCCGUGGCAGGGGGUCAGGGGGGGGUCUCCGUGCCUGGCGGGUGUAGUGCAGGUCUCCCAGCAGGCUCCCGGGCAGCGCGCCGCCGCUCCGCGCCUCCACCUCGCCCUGCAGCUCCAGCAGCACCCAGCGGGGCAGGCUGCCCCCGCUACCGGGAGAUGGGGGGGGG
This 1416-nucleotide long non-coding RNA is filed under the name Anas zonorhyncha (Eastern spot-billed duck). Its description in RNAcentral is "lncRNA (ENSAZOG00000011987.1)". The record is from RNAcentral. Lineage: Eukaryota; Metazoa; Chordata; Aves; Anseriformes; Anatidae.